AUGACUGGCCUGGAGUAGCCAAUAAAAUGGGACAGGAGCAUUGCUGUGUGACUUCUGAGGCUGGCGUGCAAGUUUCUGCCUUUGUCCCUCGAAAGGCUAGUUCUGGGGAAAGCCAGGCCCUGGGCAAGACGUCUGAACAUUCUGGGCCGGCCCUGCUGGGAGGAAGCCCAUGCCAGCAUGUAGAGAAGCCACAGGGAAAGAUCCAGGCAGGUGUUCCAGCCAUCCAUCCAAGCUGGGCCCCGGACAAGAGUGGAAAAGCCACAUGGGACUCCAUGCCAGUCAAGCUUUCAGAUGAAUUCCAGCUCCAGUCACCAUCUGGCAGCACAGGAGAGACCCUGAGGGAACUGCCCAGCUGGACUCAGCCAAGCCACAGAGCUGUGUGUCACAACAACAUGGCAUUGCCUUAAACCACUAAGUUCCCAGCAAGAGAGAGAAGGACCUGUGCUCCGCUCAUAUUUCAGAUCCAAGGUUUGAAACAUUACCUUGGAUUCCAAAGAAUGUCCAUCAGAAUGAAGCAGGGGGCAGAGGCGGGAGGUGGUGUCAUGUCAUGAAGGAAGGCGGGUGCAGGGGACAAGUGCCACGUGGACCACCACCGCUACCCGAGCGACCAGACAACUCACCUGUGGCCACAGCUCUCCUGGACUCUCGAAUCGGCCCCACUGCCAACCAGCUGUUCAGGCAGAAACUUAGGAGCAGCGGGUCCUGGGAGUGGGAGCCCCAGCCCCGCUCGGCCAUCCAGCCUCUGCGCACCCCGCCGACUGCACCAGCCCGCGGUCGGCACUCAGUAAGCACCACCAGCUGACCGGUGGAUCCUUCCAGCACAGCGGCAUUUCGGCUCUCUCUAGAAGAGUGACUUAAAUAGGAAUAUAUUGAGACUUUUGGAAUGUCCCUCCCUCUGAUUCCCUUGGCAGAGACCUUUAACCCAUCUCGCCCCACACAUGUUGACAACAGUAUCCAGUUCAAGAUCGUAUGGCGGGAGGCUCACCUGAAAUUUACCUGAGUAGAUGGGAUCUCUUUUUCUAUUUUCUAAAGACCCUGAGCCUUUAGCCCUGUCCAUUCAGCAGACAGACACCUGCUGAGUUGCUGCACUUUGUCCACGAUCCCACGCGAGGUGCGCGCGGACAGCAGGGCUCUCGGACAGCUGAGUGGUGAGGAGACAGGCAUGGGGACAGAGCAGCCUCCAGCCUGCGGACAGCUCAGAAACGCUCCCGGAAGUGGCACUCAAGUACCAAGGGCACCCGGGCAUCUCGGGAAGGAGGCUCGCGCAUGGACCACGCGGGAGACGUGAAACCGCUCAGGCCGUAUGUCCACGGGCCUGGAAACUGACCAUCACGCACGUGGGGAACCGUAGCCUGGGUUCUAAGGCAGGUGCCCCGCAAACCUCCACCACGUGAGCUCUGCGUCUGAGCCCAGGUGGGCCGGCCUGAAGCCCUCAGUGUCCUGACCGUGUUUCCUGUCGAUAGGAGUGGCUAGAAUCCGUCGCAUGCACUGUUUCUGCAGUUGAGGAAACAGGCCUUGGUGGCUUUCACAGACAUUUAAGCAGAAAUUCAGACGUGAAAUGGCUUUGCGACUACAGGGCUGGAAAAGAGGGGGAAUGACGUCUGUCUCCAGGGGGAGCGCUUCCUUGACCCCGACAGACUGGGUGUUCUGCAAGGUCACAGAAUGUCUCUCUCUUUGUCCUGGAUGCCAAGAACUUGGGAUGGAUGUGAUGUGGAAGCGCAGGUCCUCUUGUCACCUUUAUGUUCAAUGUGUCACCCACCUGCUCUCUUCUCUGUCCCCUUGGAAGUCUGUUUCUACCUGAACCUUGUUAAACUGACUGAGUCACUCCUCUUGUUUGGUUGUUGGCUGGGUGGUGACUUGCCACUUGUGUGUAUGUGUGUGUGUGAGUGUGUUGUGUGUAUGUGUGUGAGUGUGUUGUGUGUAUGUGUGUAUGAGUGUGCUUGUGUGUAUGUUGUAUGUGUGUUGUGCGUGAGUGUUGUGUGUGUUGUGUGUAUGUGUGCAUUGUGUGUAUGUGUGUAUGAGUGUGUGUUGUGUGUGUUGUGUAUGAGUGUUUUGUGUGUGUUGUGUAUGUGUGUGUUGUGUGUGUUGUGUAUGUGUGUGUUGUGUGUGAGUGUUGUGUGUGUCUGUUGUGUGUAUGUGUGUUGUGUGUGUGUGUGUUGUGUGUAUGUGUGUGUGUGUUGUGUGUGUGAGUGUGUUGUGUGUAUUAGUGUGUUGUGUGUAUGUGUCUCUGUGAGUGUGUUGUGUGUUGUGUGUAUGUGUGUGUGAGUGUGUUGUGUGUAUGUGUGUGUGUGUUGUGUGUAUGUGUGUGUGUGAGUGUGUUGUGUGUGUGAGUGUGUUGUGUGUCUGUGUGUGUGUGAGUGUGUUGUGUGUAUGUGUGUCUGAGUGUGUUGUGUGUAUGUGUGUGUGUGAGUGUGGUGUGUGUGUGUGUGUGAGUGAGUGUUUGGGGGUAGGUCACCUCAGACGCUUUUGCAGAGGGAGUGAUGUAAUAAAGCGUAAAGGUUUAAAGCUGAUCUCCUUUCACCGGGAUAUGUUUAACAAGGCAGAGGGAGGAAUAAAUCCACUGUCCUGAUGGUGGCAGUGACUGGGGCUCCUUCGCGCACUGGGAGUCCGUCUUUCCUGACUCCAGAUGCCCGUGACUUCCGGGGGGAGGCGGGGGUCUUCUGCACCCACUGAAGGGAAGAGAAGCCAGUCAGUGAGCAAACAAAUUCUUUGCUGAAGAAAUCCUGAACAGGGGGCUAGAGCUCCCACCUACUCUGAAAACAAUUUCGGUCACCCUAAAGAGGGAACAAAAUAGGACAGGAGAAAUUAGUAAAUGCUUAACUGGUAAAAUGGGCAAACACUUCUGGGCAUAGUUGGAAAUUCACAAGGAUUAUUCUUUCUCUUUGGCAGAUGCCAGUCAGUGCUGUCUGCCCAGCAUCCCUGCUCCCUGCCUCCUCUGGUAGAAAUGAGUUGUACAGUUCCAUCCUCUUGGCCACAGGCAUGGGAGUGAGGUUGAGAGCCUGCACAGACCGUCCAGAUCCUUCCUUGGCAUCUGCGACCUGGACACUUGGAGAGAGCAGCUGUGUCAUCUCUAAGGCCCCGCUCUGGGACGGUAAGCCCACAGCUGCUGACUAGGGCGUUUCUCACUGCUGAAAGGGAGCUCGUCCGCAGGCCAAGAAAAAGAGAGAAGCUUAGCAAUUAUUUCCUGAGUUUCUGUCGCCUGCAGCUGAAAGAACCCUGACUAGCAUGGUCUGAUUUUACAAGGUGAGGCGAGAAGCCCUGACAGGCAAAGUAACUUCCCACAGUCACAGAGAGGAGACCCCGGGCCCCCCUAGAGCUGACCCCAGGGAAAUGAGUGACCGAAACCUCUCAUGCGUCCCCUCCCAGCCCUCCAUCUCUUCUCCUGCCCAGUCUUCCUCCAGAGUCGCAGUGACAGAAAAGACUACAUCGCUCCUGGAAACCUCCUAGAAAUUCCCCAAACUGAGAAGCCAGCAUCCUCGGAGCCCUGCUUCUGGUUGUACAUAUUAACACACUUCUCGUCCUUUAAUAAAGGACUUCAGUGGUGAGAUCCUGCAUUUAUUCAAACAGUGCUUUGUACUUGCCUGGGCCCCUCUCUUGCUGAAACCUCCCCGAUGGCUUUGCAAAAAUCGCAGCCGACUCCAGUCAGUCCCCUCACGAGGAAAGUGACAAUGGGGUGACCUUUCCCCAGGUCCUCUUAGCUGGACGGAGACGAGGCGUCUUGGUUCACACCGCUCUGGGGGAGCCUCGGACUCAACCCCUGGAUUACGCAUCAGUUAACCCCUGUGACGUGGAGUCGGUCACUCCCUGCCCCAAACCUCUGUUUUCUUCUCUCUUAAAAUGGAGAGGACAGUUGUGGGUGUUUCAGGACACAACUGUGAGGAGUCUGUGAAAUCGAGUAUUCUCAGCACCUCACACAGGUCUCGGUGCAUCGCAGGUCCUCGUUGAUGUUAAUUGCCUCCUCCUUCCGGUCCCGGCUGAUUAGGAAAAGACUGUUUCGCACGAUGCAGGAUCCUACCUGCUUCCCGAGUAAGCUACACAGGAUGAUCAUGCCCUCGCAUACAUAAAUAUACAUGAGACGGAGGGUGCAGCAUUAUUAGCAUAAUGAAUAUUCUAAUUAUGGCGCGAACAUUAAAGCUGGCACCAAACAUUAAUCCCCGGGGAAUGCCAAUUGCCAAGGAUGUCAUUACCAACCUGUGACCAAGUGUACUGAGAGGACCGAACUUGUGAAAUCAAGGAGCCAUCACACUUUUCAAAACACAGGAGGAGAUCAGUUACAACAGCGCACUAACACACACACACACACACACACACACACAUCACAGAGUCCCUUUCCUAUGAGCCACUGUGCCAUCAGUGCUCUUCUCUUACAAUGUUACUGCAGGGACAGGUGAGGUGAGGGCCGUGAAUUUAACCAGCACCGCCGAUGGAGGCUUUACGCGGACCAGAUGCUGGCUGGGACAUUUCCCCACAUCACCUGUGGCUUGUUUCUCGAACAGCUGGACGAGGUUCUCUUCGUAGCACAGUCCCGUUCUGUGCAUGGGACAAAGACAAGUGAAGUGACAAGAACUGUAACCGAAACAAGAGCUAACACUGCCGCUGGGUUUCGGGCGGCGCUUCUGGAACCGUCUGCGUGGGUCAUCACUUCCCUUCUGCCCUGUUGCCCACAAAGGCACUGACACUCAGCGAGUCAUACGGCGAACGAGCGGUGGAGCCAGGACCCACACCCGGGUCAUUGCUCCCAGACGGCAGGUGGAAAUGCCGACAAGCGCUUCCCACCUGCGCCGGCUCACACGGGUCCACGUCAGGAAGCUCUGAUCAAACCCGGCCCCGUCAGACCCCAGCCUAUACCUCGCACACGGUAUUUCCAGAGUUCAGGAGUUAAUUUGACAUAAUUUCUUAUGGUUCCCUUCAAGAGAAUAUAGGAAGAGCUGGCUGCAAAACUGAACCCGUGAGCACCGAUUUAAGGAUUUCUGCUAAGCCAGAGCGCAGUCUUCUCUGGGGCAUAAGAGGUCUGUCCCCAGCACAACUGGCAUUCAGAUUUUGGUCAGUAACUCAGAUGGAUGUAAAGGCGGUCACGGAUUAUGUUUAAGGAAGACACAAAGAUGGACCGGAGAAUGUGCAACAGAUCGGGAAGUCAGUCUGCAGGGAAGCUGGCUUUGACGUUGACUCCACCCCUGCCAGGUGACAGGUGACCUGCCUCCAGCUCCAGGACAGAGCACGUGGUCCAGGCUUAGACACAGCACCUUGCUUGGUACAGAGACAGACAGAGAGGAUUGAAAUUAAGCCUGGAUGUUUGCUGGAGCCUUCUGGAAAGAGGGCCCGACCUUAAGCCAGACCCAUGUGGAUGUAAGUGCAGAGAUAUGUGGUGAUGGCCUGAAGCAAAACUCAGACAAAACCGGAGACACAUGCAGAGCUGAGGCCUCAGGUCACCUCACCAGCCUGGAGGUGACCCGAACUCCCAGGUCAUUUCCGUUAAGCCCUUCCCCCAUCCUCUCACGCCUGCUUUGAGGAGGCGUUCUGUCCUAGCCCUGGAAGAAUCCUGACUAACAGAUCACCCCCGAGGCUCCGGUCACCGUCACCGUCCCCGCCUCCACAGAUCCUCUCGCCCCUGGGAAGGGCGGCGAGCACCCAGCAGCCUCACUUCUGCGGGGUAGAAGAUGUGCUACUUCGCAUUUGUCUCUGAUGCCUUCUUGGCUGCAUCCAGGGCACCUGGGUCAGACAAGUGUCUCAUUCUACCUUCUCCUGGGAUUCCCGCAGCCUGACUCGGUGAGGGUAAUAAACGCUCAAUAAAUAGGACUUUCCGGGUGCUUACAGCCUAGCAUAACUUUAGAUGCUCUGCCUUCUUUUUCAAUAGAAUCUUUUCCCCAAAACAACUCCUGUUCAUUCCCCGGCCUUGGAAAGGCAGCAUUCCUCAAAGUAGCCCUAAUCAUUCUCUUGAGCACUUACUACGUGCUGGGCAUCGGUGCCGUGUACAGGCGAGGUGACACAGGAUCGGUGUGACAAGGAGCCCACCUAGUUGAGGGGAACAGGUUACAGACACACACCCCGUGGAGUGAGAAAGGUCAGGGCAGAGGACCCGGGUGCUGCAGGGCCCCAAGGAGGAAGCACCAGCUCCACCAUUUUGAACCAUCUCACCUCUCGGCCCCCUGUGCUGUGCUGGAGGGUAAAGACGUGUGAACAGACAGUGAAAUCCAAGGACCGUUUUAUCAGAGAACAAAUACUGAAAUCCAUCAGUCAUGGCCUCCAAGGAAACACUGAGACGUGAAGUAAAUCUAAAGAUACAAGAAAAAGUACACACUCCUAUUGCACCAUAAAUAAAUAGGUUUGACAAACGUUCCCAGAGUUGGCAGCUUGUUACCAGAGGCCACGAACUUGUGGCUCCACACAUUUUCUUAUUCUUUUUCUUUAUUGAAGUGUGGCCGGUUUACAAUGCUGUGUCAGUCUCUGGUGUACUGCAUCAUGUCUCAGUCACACAGAUGCAUGCAUACGUUCGUUUUCAUAUUUUUUUCAUUGUAGGUUACUGCAAGGUAGUGAAUAGAGCUCUGCAGUAGAAACCUGUUGUUUAUCAAUCUUCUAGACGGUAGUUAGUAUCUGCAAAUCUCAAACUCCCGAUUUAUGCCUUCCCACCCCCUACCCCCA
Long non-coding RNA from Camelus dromedarius (Arabian camel), 6639 nucleotides. RefSeq lists it as uncharacterized. NCBI's taxonomy places the organism in Eukaryota, Metazoa, Chordata, Mammalia, Artiodactyla, Camelidae. The record is from RefSeq and is a predicted model, not a curated record. The transcript has 3 exons.